Erigeron canadensis is the source of this 984-nucleotide long non-coding RNA. RefSeq lists it as uncharacterized. The record is from RefSeq and is a predicted model, not a curated record. Lineage: Eukaryota; Viridiplantae; Streptophyta; Magnoliopsida; Asterales; Asteraceae. The transcript has 4 exons.
ACCAUGGUAUUACAUUGCCUGUUCUAUAUGCCACUAUGGAGUUAAACCAAUCGAAGAUGCUGGGUCCUCAACCGACGGGAAAAAGGUUAACAACCUUUGGGAUUGUCAUAACUGCAAGACAGCUGUUAAGAAAGUAUAUCCACGGUACAAGAUAUCUGUACGUUGGUGGACGAAACAGGGUCUGCAACCUUUGUGCUCUUUGAUAAGGAUAUUAAGAGGCUGAUUACAGUAUCUGCGUACACCAUGUGUGUUGUCCUUGCUAAGGGUGGUGAUAAAUUUCCUCCAGAGCUCGAAGAUAUCGAAGGUCACACAGCGUUGUUUGACUACAAGGUUGCAUACGACUAGAAUAUUAGACAAGAGAAAGAGGAUUAUACUGUCACCAAGCUUACCAAAGACGAACCUAUUCUUGAUGCAUACCGCAAACUUGGUGAAAAUAAUCAGGAUAAGGAGAUCGACCAACAACCUGUUACACCCUCUACUGAAGCCCCUUUAGGUCAAAAUUCAUAAAUGCGAUGGCAGCAACUUCAAUCUAAAGAGUACUGCAGAUAGUCCUCCUGUGAAGCGUUUGUGUGUAGAUCUUGAUGAUGACGAGUCUGUUGAAGCAUCCUCUACCCGUGCUAAACGAAGACUGGAGAUCAACCAAGACAAUCUCUAAUAAUACGAAACAAUAUCCGUCGGUGGUCAAAUAAAAAUCGCCCGUUUUUUCAAAAGCAGUUUAUUUGGAUUUUUGUUUCCGGAUUAUUCUAUUUUCUGUUUGGGUGAUUACCUGUGUUGGGUAUAUUUAAUGUUUGAUUUUAUUUUGUUCUAACCUCUGCUGCUACUUCAGGGCCAUCCAACAAAGAAGUUCUUUAGGGCCUCUGACCGACUUAUAACUGUUACAAACAUUAUUUCUUUUUCCAUUUUCAGUAUUCAUUUCAUUGGAUUCUUUGCAUUCUAUUUAUCAUCAUUCCACCUUAUAGUUUAUUUUUGAUUAUAUGUUUUUUA